Molecule: ribosomal RNA, 242 nt
Filed under: uncultured bacterium
Lineage: Bacteria
Description: partial 16S ribosomal RNA
Rfam family: Bacterial small subunit ribosomal RNA
Source: RNAcentral
GAUGAACGCUAGCGGCAGGCUUAAUACAUGCAAGUCGAGGGGCAGCGGGGGUAGCAAUACCUGCCGGCGACCGGCAAACGGGUGCGGAACACGUACACAACUUUCCUUUAAGUGGGGGAUAGCCCAGAGAAUUUGGAUUAAUACCCCGUAAUAUUAUGAAGUGGCAUCAUUUUUAUAAUUAUAGCUCCGGCGCUUGAAGAUGGGUGUGCGGCUGAUUAGGUAGUUGGCGGGGUAACGGCCCA